UUGUGACAUGUUUGAUCCAAUGAACUCGCUCCCCUUUUCCUGGAGCCUCAGCCUCUGGUGAAACUGGACUUUCAAGUCUGUGCAGGUGAAGGUGUGUGAGAGCGCCCGAGAUGGCAGAACAAGAGCUACAGGUUCUAAACAAGAUGAGACACAAAAUAAAGAUUAAAGAUGGAGGCCGAAUGUCAUCCCUCCUACUGAGAGAGGUACACACGAGGUUGUGACUUAGUGGAAGAAUGAAAUUGGGCCUGCAACCUGAGUUGAGUUCUGGUCCCCACCUGGCCGCAGGCCUGCAAAAUGCCCCGUGGAAGGGCAAAGAAAGCCAGUGCUGCCCACAGUACUGUUCAAGGCAAUGAAAGACAUCAAGAAGCUGAAAUAACAUGUUUAGUUAAUCUCCCCAAAGUUUCAAAUCAGCUUCGCCAUGUACCUUGCAGAUCUUAGUUCUCCAACCAGGGAUUGAACCUGGACCCCAGCAAUGUAAACACCAAAUCCUAGCCACUGGACCACUAAGGAAUUCCUUAUAUUACGUUUUAUAAUUAAGGGAGAAAUGUAUGUUUUCAAGGUUUAUUUGCAUGCUAUUUACCUCUGUAUAUUUUUGGUAUUUGUUAAGAAUGUACUGGAGAACAAGGAUUUUGUUCAUAAAAGAGGUUUAGAAAAGGGGAAAAGUUUAUUUUCUUAUAAUGGCUGAUAGAAGAUAGGUUUUGUAGAUUUUUGGAGUACAUUUAUGGGUCUACCAUGCAUUAUACAAGCUUCUAUAAUCAAGUGGAAAUAGAAUUAAGCAUUAUGAAAGUAAAAGUGAAAGUCGCUCAGUCGUGUCCGACUCUUUACAACACCAUGGACUGUAUAGUCCAGGAAUUCUCCAGGCCAAGAUACUGGAGUGGGUAGCCUUUCCCUCCUCCAGGGGAUCUUCCCAACCCAGGGAUCGAACCCAGGUUUCCCGCAUUGCAGGCAGAUUCUUUACCAGCUGAGCCACAAGAGAAGCCCAUUAACUAUUAUAAAACUCCCCAUAAGUGGGCCAACUAACAUAAAAAUUUUUUUAAGUUACCUUAUGUAGCAUUAUAUUUUUUCUAAUUUCCUAUUUGUACUACAAAAGUAAUGAAAUUCAUUUCAAUAGUCUGUUGAGAGAAAGAAAUACAAUAAUCACUCAUAAUCUAACCACUUAACUGUUGGCAUUUUUGUAUCAAGUUAUUUUCUGUCCUAGAUCUUCAAACCAUUUCAUAAGUUUUGCCCUGUUUUAGCCUCAAAACAGGGUUCAGGAGUUCUCUGGUGGCUAGUGGUUAGGAUUCCAGGCUUUCACUGCCUUGGCCUGGGUUUAGUGCCUGGUUGGGGAACUGAGAUUCUAUGAUAUGGCCACACAAAAAAUAAAAUUAUGACUUUUGGAAUUCCCUGCUGGUGCACUGGUUAGGAUUCUUCACUUACACUGCCAAGGGAAUGGGUUCAAGCCCUGGUUGGGGAACUAAUAUCCCACAAGCCAUGCAGUACAGCCAAAAAUAAAUAAACCAAAGGAAACAAACAAACAAACAGCAGCCCCCGCCUCCCCAACACACACACACCAAACCAAAACAGAGUUCGGAACAGGCUAGGGAGAUGUUCUUGUUUCCAUAAUCCAGGCCUGGAGCCCACAUCUGACUGCUUGGCUGGCAGCUUCUCCAGACACAAGUUGACGUUGUCCCGCGAGGGACACCUGUACAGUGGGAACAAUUAGCACAGUUCACACAGGUAAGUCACCUUACUAACUGAACUCCUUUAAGUGGAUCACUAAGGGCCACAAAGACAGACUAAGGUCACUCAUUUAGAUAAUUUUGUUUCUUUGUGUUUUUUGUUUGUGUUCUUGUGUGUCUUUAAAUCCUUAAUAUUUGUUUUAUCUCAUCUUUCAGAAAUUGUAUACUGAUUAAGUUCUUAUACCAGAAUUUGAUAUGAGCAUGUGAAAUAUUUAAUCUACCAUUUGGGAUUCUGUUUUCAAUGACCCAGAUACUCAUUUGGCUAAAGUUAACAUGAAUUUGUGUUGAUUUCAUUUAGCAUGAAUUUUUUGUUUAGCUUUUAUGAAAAUACACAGCAAUUGGAAAUAGGCUGCACAGUUUACCUGCACCCCUAUCUUUUUAAUUGUAAAACCUCUGGAAUUUUUUUUGUUGUUCUAUAACAUUUUUGUGAAACUCUUAUCAUAUCACAGGACACUUCUGGCACUUUCGUGUGUUUCAGUCCAGAGAAACUAAGGGUAGAAUCCAAACAAAACCUUGUUUACUUUUUCCACACUUCAGGAACCAGAGUUAAUUCAGAGCAAAGAAGCCUAAAGGGAAAGAGGAAAAAAAGGGGAAAUAAAAAAAGGCUGUUCAUUGUACA
This is a long non-coding RNA of Bubalus bubalis (water buffalo), 2337 nucleotides long. RefSeq lists it as uncharacterized. The transcript has 3 exons. The record is from RefSeq and is a predicted model, not a curated record. Lineage: Eukaryota; Metazoa; Chordata; Mammalia; Artiodactyla; Bovidae.